AGCCUUCUGUAUUCGAGCUGAGAUUUCGUCAGAAAUCAACCCACCGGAGUUGGCGGAUGUAGCUUCCCAAAUAAGUGAAGUG
RNAcentral lists this microRNA precursor (82 nucleotides) under Trichobilharzia regenti. Its description in RNAcentral is "mir-3492 microRNA precursor family". It matches the Rfam family "mir-3492 microRNA precursor family". Lineage: Eukaryota; Metazoa; Platyhelminthes; Trematoda; Strigeidida; Schistosomatidae. The record is from Rfam by way of RNAcentral.